CCAAAAGCAAGAAACAAAAUAUUAAAAAAAAAAAUAUCACAAAACACACCUCUAUGAUUCUGUCAUGUGUUCUUCCCACAUGGACUUGUUUACUUCAUCAAUUAAAUUAAACGGUCCAUUUCCAGAUCUUAAACCUAACAUCAACAUCACACUUAACGUUCGAAGUUGACGCCGUUACUGGUUUCUUACUACCGACGACAGGAACAUGAACUCUAACACCGUCACAUGUAACUCUUAUUCCAACGUUAGGUGUUUUCAUUUUUCCCAUUUUAGCCUUCACUUUUGUAUCCAACUUCACUUUCAACGCUAAACCGUUUUUGCUCUUCAUGUUCUUCUUCAGCUCCGUGGAAGCUUCUGAUUCUAAUGCUAGACCAGUACUCGAAAUGGAAGAUUUUAGAAGAGUAGUGUUCUUCUUGCCAUGUUUGAAAGAUGGUAUGGUUCCUUCACCGAUGUUGAUGUUGUUAGAGAGAAUUGUGAUGGUGGUUGGUUGGUAAACGAAGGUGAUAUGUUUGUUAGGGUUUUUUGCAGUGAUGUUGACGUUGAACUUUGAGUUGAGGGUGGAGGAGGAGGUGAGGUUGAGGUAGGAAAGUUUGAGAGAUGUGACGGUGAAGGAAGGACGGUGGGGACGGUAGAUGAGGUAGAAAGCGGUGCCGGUUACGCCGAGGAGGAGGAGGAGGAUGAGAAGUAUGAGGAAAAACCAGAAGAAGAAGGUGCAGCAGCAACGGCGGCGGGUACGGCGGUGGUGAGGUUGAGGACGGUAGGUAGGGCGGGUGGCACCGUAGAGUUGAGCUUUUGUGGCUGGAAAUGAUGGGUUUGCGGCGGAGACACCGUUACCGUUUCCGUUGCCGUUGGUUAUGGGUUUGGCGGCGGGAUAUACACGAUCUGCCAUGAUGUUUUUUUUGUUUCGGGGGAAAUAAUGUUGUCGGUGAAUGAAAUAGAGGGAGUGUGUUUUUGGUUUUGAGGUUAACUAAAAGGUGGAUUAAGAAGAAAGUACUAGUGGUAGUAGAAUAUAGGAAAGGAAUUAAUCACCAAAAGGAAAAAAAAGAAUGGGAAAAGGAAUUAAGUUUGAAGUCAAAAAAAGAAAGGGAAGGAAUUAAAAAAGGAAAAUGGGGUAGGAAAUUGGAGAGAGAAAGAUUGCAACAUUCUAACUACUAGUUUUUAGCUGUAUCCAGCACUUUACUCUCAUGUUAAGCGCGUACAUAAUGCUCCUCACACUUAAUUUCUCAAUCUCAUUAUUCACAGAUUAAUUAAAG
RNAcentral lists this long non-coding RNA (1253 nucleotides) under Medicago truncatula (barrel medic). RNAcentral describes it as "lncRNA gene12570". Lineage: Eukaryota; Viridiplantae; Streptophyta; Magnoliopsida; Fabales; Fabaceae. The record is from RNAcentral.